RNAcentral lists this ribosomal RNA (465 nucleotides) under Vreelandella stevensii. RNAcentral describes it as "partial 16S ribosomal RNA". It matches the Rfam family "Bacterial small subunit ribosomal RNA", at positions 338 to 795 of the family's 1533-position model. The record is from RNAcentral. Lineage: Bacteria; Pseudomonadati; Pseudomonadota; Gammaproteobacteria; Oceanospirillales; Halomonadaceae.
CCUACGGGGGGCAGCAGUGGGGAAUAUUGGACAAUGGGGGCAACCCUGAUCCAGCCAUGCCGCGUGUGUGAAGAAGGCCCUCGGGUUGUAAAGCACUUUCAGUGAGGAAGAACGCCUGGUGGUUAAUACCCAUCAGGAAAGACAUCACUCACAGAAGAAGCACCGGCUAACUCCGUGCCAGCAGCCGCGGUAAUACGGAGGGUGCGAGCGUUAAUCGGAAUUACUGGGCGUAAAGCGCGCGUAGGUGGCUUGAUAAGCCGGUUGUGAAAGCCCCGGGCUCAACCUGGGAACGGCAUCCGGAACUGUCAAGCUAGAGUGCAGGAGAGGAAGGUAGAAUUACCGGUGUAGCGGUGAAAUGCGUAGAGAUCGGGAGGAAUACCAGUGGCGAAGGCGGCCUUCUGGACUGACACUGACACUGAGGUGCGAAAGCGUGGGUAGCAAACAGGAUUAGAUACCCCAGUAGUC